GAUGAAGAACGUAGCGAAAUGCGAUACGUAAUGUGAAUUGCAGAAUUCAGUGAAUCAUCGAAUCUUUGAACGCACAUUGCGCCCGCCAGUAUUCUGGCGGGCAUGCCUGUUCGAGCGUCAUUUCAACCAUCAAGCCCCCGGCUUGUGUUGGGGACCUGCGGCUGCCGCAGGCCCUGAAAAGCAGUGGCGGGCUCGCUGUCACACCGAGCGUAGUAGCAUACAUCUCGCUCUGGGCGUGCCGCGGGUUCCGGCCGUUAAACCACCUUCAUAACCCAAGGUUGACCUCGGAUCAGGUAGGAAGACCCGCUGAACUUAAGCAUAUCAAUAAGCGAAGGA
This 336-nucleotide unclassified non-coding RNA is filed under the name soil metagenome. RNAcentral describes it as "partial contains 5.8S ribosomal RNA, internal transcribed spacer 2, and large subunit ribosomal RNA". The stretch from base 1 to 120 matches the Rfam family "5.8S ribosomal RNA", at positions 35 to 154 of the family's 154-position model. The record is from RNAcentral.